GCUUAACGCGAAGAACCUUACCCAGGCUUGACAUCCUGCUAAUCACUCCGAAAGGAGAGAGUGCCUUCGGGCCGCAGUGACAGGUGAUGCAUGGCCGUCGUCAGCUCGUGUCGUGAGAUGUUUGGUUAAGUCCAUCAACGAGCGCAACCCUUAUGAGUAGUUGUAUUUCUCUACUCAGACUGCCCUGGUAACAGGGAGGAAGGAGGGGAUGAUGUCGGGUCAGUAUCUCCCUUACGUCUGGGGCUACAAACACGCUACAAUGGCCGGUACAAAGGGCAGCCAACCCGCGAGGGGGAGCAAAUCCCAUCAAAGCCGGUCUCAGUUCGGAUUGUAGGCUGAAACUCGCCUGCAUGAAGCUGGAAUCGCUAGUAAUGGUAGGUCAGCACACUACCGUGAAUACGUUCCCGGGUCUUGUACACACCG
RNAcentral lists this ribosomal RNA (423 nucleotides) under uncultured bacterium. Its description in RNAcentral is "bacterial SSU rRNA". It matches the Rfam family "Bacterial small subunit ribosomal RNA", at positions 954 to 1392 of the family's 1533-position model. The record is from RNAcentral.